UUUGAUCCUGGCUCAGAUUGAACGCUGGCGGCAGGCCUAACACAUGCAAGUCGAACGGUAACAGGAUGUGCUUGCACAUCGCUGACGAGUGGCGGACGGGUGAGUAAUGCUUGGGAACUUGCCUUUGCGAGGGGGAUAACAGUUGGAAACGACUGCUAAUACCGCAUAAUGUUCUACGGACUCGGUCCGAAGGACCAAACGGGGCUUUUAGCUCCGGCGCAAAGAGAGGCCCAAGUGAGAUUAGCUAGUUGGUAAGGUAACGGCUUACCAAGGCGACGAUCUCUAGCUGUUCUGAGAGGAAGAUCAGCCACACUGGGACUGAGACACGGCCCAGACUCCUACGGGAGGCAGCAGUGGGGAAUAUUGCACAAUGGGGGAAACCCUGAUGCAGCCAUGCCGCGUGUGUGAAGAAGGCCUUCGGGUUGUAAAGCACUUUNCAGUUGUGAGGAAAAGUUAGUAGUUAAUACC
This 468-nucleotide ribosomal RNA is filed under the name LMWdDNA-degrading marine bacterium 14. Its description in RNAcentral is "bacterial SSU rRNA". It matches the Rfam family "Bacterial small subunit ribosomal RNA", at positions 12 to 468 of the family's 1533-position model. The record is from RNAcentral.